GCACUGCUGACGAGUCCCAAACAGGACGGAAUAGCUGUCCAGUGC
This is a non-coding RNA of Echinostoma caproni, 45 nucleotides long. The record is from Rfam. NCBI's taxonomy places the organism in Eukaryota, Metazoa, Platyhelminthes, Trematoda, Plagiorchiida, Echinostomatidae.